RNAcentral lists this ribosomal RNA (468 nucleotides) under uncultured bacterium. RNAcentral's name for it is "partial 16S ribosomal RNA". It matches the Rfam family "Bacterial small subunit ribosomal RNA", at positions 28 to 507 of the family's 1533-position model. The record is from RNAcentral.
GACGAACGCUGGCGGCGUGCUUAACACAUGCAAGUCGAACGGAAAGGCCCUGCUUUUGUUGGGUGCUCGAGUGGCGAACGGGUGAGUAACACGUGAGUAACCUGCCCUUGACUUUGGGAUAACUUCAGGAAACUGGGGCUAAUACCGGAUAGGAGCUCCUGCUGCAUGGUGGGGGUUGGAAAGUUUCGGCGGUUGGGGAUGGACUCGCGGCUUAUCAGCUUGUUGGUGGGGUAGUGGCUUACCAAGGCUUUGACGGGUAGCCGGCCUGAGAGGGUGACCGGCCACAUGGGGACUGAGGUACGGCACAGAAUGGUACGGGAGGCAGCAGUGGGGAAUAUUGCACAAUGGGCGGAAGCCUGAUGCAGCAACGCCGCGUGCGGGAUGACGGCCUUCGGGUUGUAAACCGCUUUCGCAUGUGACGAAGCGUGAGUGACGGUAAUGGGUAAAGAAGCACCGGCUAACUACGUG